Molecule: ribosomal RNA, 445 nt
Filed under: uncultured bacterium
Lineage: Bacteria
Description: bacterial SSU rRNA
Rfam family: Bacterial small subunit ribosomal RNA
Source: RNAcentral
GAUGAACGCUAGCGGCAGGCCUAACACAUGCAAGUCGAGGGGUAGAGUUCUUCGGGACUUGAGACCGGCGCACGGGUGCGUAACGCGUAUGCAAUCUACCUUAUACAUGGGAAUAGCCCAGAGAAAUUUGGAUUAAUGCCCCAUAGUGUUAUCGAAUCGCAUGGUUUGAUAACUAAAGUUCCAACGGUAUAAGAUGAGCAUGCGUCCAUUAGUUAGUUGGUAAGGUAACGGCUUACCAAGACAAUGAUGGGUAGGGGUCCUGAGAGGGAGAUCCCCCANACUGGUACUGAGACACGGACCAGACUCCUACGGGAGGCAGCAGUGAGGAAUAUUGGACAAUGGGCGCAAGCCUGAUCCAGCCAUGCCGCGUGCAGGAAUAAGGUCCUAUGGAUUGUAAACUGCUUUUAUACAGGAAGAAACACACCCUCGUGAGGGUACUUGACGG